AGNGAAGAACNUUCCCUACUCUUGACAUCUAUAGAAGCCAGCGGAGACGCAGGUGUGCCUUCGGGAACUGUAAGACAGGUGCUGCAUGGCUGUNGUCAGCUNGUGUUGUGAAAUGUUGGGUUAAGUCCCGCAACGAGCGCAACCCUUAUCCUUGUUUGCCAGCACUUCGGGUGGGAACUCCAGGGAGACUGCCGGUGAUAAACCGGAGGAAGGUGGGGACGACGUCAAGUCAUCAUGGCCCUUACGAGUAGGGCUACACACGUGCUACAAUGGCGCAUACAGAGGGCGGCCAACUUGCGAAAGUGAGCGAAUCCCAAAAAGUGCGUCGUAGUCCGGAUUGGAGUCUGCAACUCGACUCCAUGAAGUCGGAAUCGCUAGUAAUCGUGGAUCAGAAUGCCACGGUGAAUACGUUCCCGGGCCUUGUACACACCGCCCGUCACACCAUGGGAGUGGGCUGCAAAAGAAGUGGGUAGUUUAACCUUCGGGAGGACGCUCACCACUUUGUGGUUCAUGACUGGGGUGAAGUCGUAACAAGGUAACCG
RNAcentral lists this ribosomal RNA (542 nucleotides) under uncultured bacterium. RNAcentral describes it as "bacterial SSU rRNA". It matches the Rfam family "Bacterial small subunit ribosomal RNA", at positions 960 to 1502 of the family's 1533-position model. The record is from RNAcentral.